AGCUUAUGAACUUGAUAAAGUAUAUGUUUUGAAAACAUAAUAUAGAAAUUCAAAUUUUCUAUAGGCUU
RNAcentral lists this transfer RNA (68 nucleotides) under Tarnania fenestralis. Its description in RNAcentral is "tRNA-Ser". It matches the Rfam family "tRNA". Rfam says of the family: Transfer RNA (tRNA) molecules are approximately 80 nucleotides in length. Their secondary structure includes four short double-helical elements and three loops (D, anti-codon, and T loops). The record is from RNAcentral. Lineage: Eukaryota; Metazoa; Arthropoda; Insecta; Diptera; Mycetophilidae.